Long non-coding RNA from Trichomycterus rosablanca, 531 nucleotides. RefSeq lists it as uncharacterized. NCBI's taxonomy places the organism in Eukaryota, Metazoa, Chordata, Actinopteri, Siluriformes, Trichomycteridae. The record is from RefSeq and is a predicted model, not a curated record. The transcript has 2 exons.
AGCGCCUCUGCUCCGGGCAGCAGGCCACCGACGGCCUGAAACGUCAGCCUAAAAGUAUUCAGACAUCUUUAAGUGCAAGAUUUAUUCUGGUCAGGAAAGCACCAGGAACAGUUCACAAGGUAUGACCACUCUGGACAGGACGCCAAUCCAUCGCAUCCCUGCUUCAGACAUGGGACAAUCAGCCGGCUGAUAGCACUGCUGAGAAUUGAACCCAAAACUCGUACAUAUAUAAAUCUGUGAUUAAGAUUUCUUACUUGUGGUCUCUUCUGUACUCCAGAGUCCUCCAUCCAUCUGUUACUGUACAUGACUGUUUACUCGAUGUCUGUGUUUAUGGAUUCUUGCUUUGCUUCUUAGUAUUUAUCAUAUGAAACUCAUGUGAGAGGAAAAAAUAAAUAAUUCUAGCCAGCAUGAAUGUAAACAUGUUAAAGAAUUACACCUGUGUUUUCCAAGCUUAUUUGUACUAGCUGCAUUUGUAGCAUAUGUGGAAUUACUGCUGACAAUAAAAUGGGUACUGGGUCACAACAGGAGAAA